Long non-coding RNA from Brassica napus (rape), 1238 nucleotides. RefSeq lists it as uncharacterized. The transcript has 5 exons. NCBI's taxonomy places the organism in Eukaryota, Viridiplantae, Streptophyta, Magnoliopsida, Brassicales, Brassicaceae. The record is from RefSeq and is a predicted model, not a curated record.
GACAGUCUCAGUUUAAACAGGGAUGGUGCUUUCGCAGAAGAUUCAUGGAACAUUCAAAAGUGCAGUGGAGAGGAUGACUGGUCCUCGAACGGUCUCAGCUUUCAAGGAGAAGGGAGUUCUACAGGAUCAGGAUCGUGCGGCUUGGCUCUAUCAAGCGAUGGUAACGAUCGCGGAUUCGAAAUCAAGCAUGCUGGAGAUCGAUUCAUUCUCAUGAAUCUCAAGAUAGCAAGAAAACGCCAUUCUCAGGUCACUUUGGGAUCUUUCAACUUUGUGAACUCUGUGUGUGAUCUCUCCGCAUGCUCCGUUGAUUCAAAAGAAGAGUCGUCAUGCUUGUCAACUGGUUCCAGUGAGGUUUCCACCACUGCAAGCAGAAUCAAACUCAUAAACCAGAAAAGUUACGAGAAGCUAAGAGUGGUAGUGAAGUAGAAAGAAAGUAGCAGGUCAAGUUCUAUACGCCUUAGAGCAAAAAACAUAUUGGAGUUUCUUUCCUCAGCCUCUGCUUCUGAGGUUCAAAUCCGGCAACACACCAGAUACCAGCAAAGCUCUCAGAAUGUAUGCUCUGCGGCUUUCCUCUCAUACUACACAAACACACUUGUUAACACAUUUUAUCCAUGUAUUAAGUUUCAUUUCUUAGAUAAGCAAUGUGUUGUCAAGCCUCUCAUGCGUCCUGGAGUCAGUAGCUUAUAGUUAUAGGCUUACAGUUCUGAUCAAACCAUCAUCAACCAUCAUCUUAGAUAAGCAAUGUGCUUUCAAGGAGAAGGGAGUUCUCAGCGUCAGCGAGUUCGUUCUCGCCAGUGAUAAUCUCGUCUUCAAGUGCCCUACCUGGUCAUGCUGGUGAUCCAAGCAAGAGAAAGCCAUACUUGCCUUCAGAGAAACAGUUUUUGAUUACUAGGAAUGUUUACAGUAUUUUCUCAUACCAUUUUGUACGCCAGCCACCGAGAGAGAGAAGACAGUGAGGGAGAUGGCGGCGAAGAGAAAAUUCCUUGACUUGACGGGGAUUCCUUUCACCAGAGGCAACUCUUCAGUCGAAUAUUCUUGUGGCUCAAGAACCAGAUGACGAUAGUAUCCUGCGGACCAGAACAUAUAAUGUUAGCAUCACGUAAUCUUCUUGUGCCUUUCCUGCAUUCUUAUUAUGAUCACAGUUACACAUACUCUCGAAUGAUUGUUGAUCUGGAAAUCUUAUUAACUCUCUGUUUCUUGUUCAUGUUUAAGCUUGUAAUGAAAGUGUUUUAUAAUUU